GUACUGAUGAAGAGUCCCAAACUAGAACGAAACAGCUGGCUGUCCAGUAC
RNAcentral lists this non-coding RNA (50 nucleotides) under Trichobilharzia regenti. The record is from RNAcentral. Lineage: Eukaryota; Metazoa; Platyhelminthes; Trematoda; Strigeidida; Schistosomatidae.